AGAUCGCACGUGUCGUGCGGGUGAGAAGCUGCGUUCAGGUUCGAGCCGAGCGAAGCGAGACGACAACGCGAAGCGUUGCCCGCAGGGCGAGGCCGGAGGCCGAGUCAAUCCUGCACGACCCACCA
RNAcentral lists this small RNA (125 nucleotides) under Serratia rubidaea. Its description in RNAcentral is "RtT sRNA". It matches the Rfam family "RtT RNA". From Rfam's summary of the family: This family represents a bacterial cis-regulatory element known as RtT RNA. The exact function of RtT is unknown although it is thought that it may be involved in changing the cellular response in relation to amino acid starvation. Lineage: Bacteria; Pseudomonadati; Pseudomonadota; Gammaproteobacteria; Enterobacterales; Yersiniaceae. The record is from RNAcentral.